ACACAGGGAAGGAGGUGGUCCGGAAAUUGAUUGAUCCAUGGACUUGUGAGGUGACUGCGCGCUAGCAGCUGCGCAUGCGAGGAAUCACCUGCGCGCGCCGGCGAAUUCCCCGCAGUCACCCGGCCCCCGAGCCCCUUGGUCCGUCCAACCAGGGAACCAACGGCUCGGGGGCCGCUCCAU
Molecule: small RNA, 180 nt
Filed under: Mycolicibacterium thermoresistibile ATCC 19527
Lineage: Bacteria; Bacillati; Actinomycetota; Actinomycetes; Mycobacteriales; Mycobacteriaceae
Description: Mycobacterium thermoresistibile ATCC 19527 Actinobacteria sRNA Ms_IGR-5
Rfam family: Actinobacteria sRNA Ms_IGR-5
Source: Rfam by way of RNAcentral